This 253-nucleotide ribosomal RNA is filed under the name uncultured bacterium. RNAcentral's name for it is "partial 16S ribosomal RNA". It matches the Rfam family "Bacterial small subunit ribosomal RNA", at positions 524 to 776 of the family's 1533-position model. The record is from RNAcentral.
UACAGAGGGGGCCAGCGUUAUUCGGAAUUACUGGGCGUAAAGUGUGCGCAGGCGGCGCCGCAAGUCGAGUGUGAAAGCCCCGGGCUUAACUUGGGAAUUGCGCUCGAAACUAUGGUGUUGGAGUGUGGCAGAGGAAGGUGGAAUUCCACGUGUAGCGGUGAAAUGCGUAGAGAUGUGGAGGAACACCGAUGGCGAAGGCAGCCUUCUGGGCCAACACUGACGCUCAUGCACGAAAGCGUGGGGAGCAAACAGG